GGCGAACGCUGGCGGCGUGCUUAACACAUGCAAGUCGAACGGAAAGGCCCUGCUUUUGUGGGGUGCUCGAGUGGCGAACGGGUGAGUAACACGUGAGUAACCUGCCCUUGACUUUGGGAUAACUUCAGGAAACUGGGGCUAAUACCGGAUAGGAGCUCCUGCUGCAUGGUGGGGGUUGGAAAGUUUCGGCGGUUGGGGAUGGACUCGCGGCUUAUCAGCUUGUUGGUGGGGUAGUGGCUUACCAAGGCUUUGACGGGUAGCCGGCCUGAGAGGGUGACCGGCCACAUUGGGACUGAGAUACGGCCAGACUCCUACGGGAGGCAGCAGUGGGGAAUAUUGCACAAUGGGCGGAAGCCUGAUGCAGCAACGCCGCGUGCGGGAUGACGGCCUUCGGGUUGUAAACCGCUUUCGCCUGUGACGAAGCGUGAGUGACGGUAAUGGGUAAAGAAGCACCGGCUAACUACGUG
RNAcentral lists this ribosomal RNA (467 nucleotides) under uncultured bacterium. RNAcentral's name for it is "partial 16S ribosomal RNA". It matches the Rfam family "Bacterial small subunit ribosomal RNA", at positions 28 to 507 of the family's 1533-position model. The record is from RNAcentral.